Molecule: ribosomal RNA, 468 nt
Filed under: uncultured bacterium
Lineage: Bacteria
Description: partial 16S ribosomal RNA
Rfam family: Bacterial small subunit ribosomal RNA
Source: RNAcentral
GACGAACGCUGGCGGCGUGCUUAACACAUGCAAGUCGAACGGAAAGGCCCUGCUUUUGUGGGGUGCUCGAGUGGCGAACGGGUGAGUAACACGUGAGUAACCUGCCCUUGACUUUGGGAUAACUUCAGGAAGCUGGGGCUAAUACCGGAUAGGAGCUCCUGCUGCAUGGUGGGGGUUGGAAAGUUUCGGCGGUUGGGGAUGGACUCGCGGCUUAUCAGCUUGUUGGUGGGGUAGUGGCUUACCAAGGCUUUGACGGGUAGCCGGCCUGAGAGGGUGACCGGCCACAUUGGGACUGAGAUACGGCCCAGACUCCUACGGGAGGCAGCGGUGGGGAAUAUUGCACAAUGGGCGGAAGCCUGAUGCAGCAACGCCGCGUGCGGGAUGACGGCCUUCGGGUUGUAAACCGCUUUCGCCUGUGACGAAGCGUGAGUGACGGUAAUGGGUAAAGAAGCACCGGCUAACUACGUG